Molecule: ribosomal RNA, 700 nt
Filed under: uncultured bacterium
Lineage: Bacteria
Description: bacterial SSU rRNA
Rfam family: Bacterial small subunit ribosomal RNA
Source: RNAcentral
AGAGUUUGAUCAUGGCUCAGAUUGAACGCUGGCGGCAUGCUUUACACAUGCAAGUCGAACGGGCCAGGGGGCAACUCCUGGUCAGUGGCGAACGGGUGAGUAAUGCAUCGGAACGUGUCCCGUAGUGGGGGAUAACCCGGCGAAAGCCGGACUAAUACCGCAUAUGCUCUACGGAGGAAAGCGGGGGACCCGAAAGGGCCUCGCGCCAUGGGAGCGGCCGAUGUCCGAUUAGCUUGUUGGUGGGGUAAUGGCCCACCAAGGCGACGAUCGGUAGCUGGUCUGAGAGGAUGAUCAGCCACACUGGGACUGAGACACGGCCCAGACUCCUACGGGAGGCAGCAGUGGGGAAUUUUGGACAAUGGGGGCAACCCUGAUCCAGCCAUGCCGCGUGCGGGAAGAAGGCCUUCGGGUUGUAAACCGCUUUUAGCCGGAAAGAAAAGGCACGGGCCAAUACCCCGUGUUCUUGACGGUACCGGCGGAAUAAGCACCGGCUAACUACGUGCCAGCAGCCGCGGUAAUACGUAGGGUGCGAGCGUUAAUCGGAAUUACUGGGCGUAAAGCGUGCGUAGGCGGUUCGCUGUGUCCUGUGUGAAAGCCCCGGGCUUAACCUGGGAAUUGCAUGGGAAACUGGCGGGCUGGAGUGUGGCAGAGGGGGGUGGAAUUCCGCGUGUAGCAGUGAAAUGCGUAGAGAUGCGGAGGA